RNAcentral lists this transfer RNA (72 nucleotides) under Camelus bactrianus (Bactrian camel). It matches the Rfam family "tRNA". From Rfam's summary of the family: Transfer RNA (tRNA) molecules are approximately 80 nucleotides in length. Their secondary structure includes four short double-helical elements and three loops (D, anti-codon, and T loops). Lineage: Eukaryota; Metazoa; Chordata; Mammalia; Artiodactyla; Camelidae. The record is from Rfam by way of RNAcentral. RNAcentral also lists the same sequence under 2 other names.
GGAGGUGGAGCUCAGUGGUAGAGCUCAUGCUUGACAUGCAUGAGGUCCUGGGUUCAAUCCCCAGUGCCUCCA